GAGUUUGAUCCUGGCUCAGAAUAAAUGCUAUCGGUAUGCUUAACACAUGCAAGUUGAAUGUUUUUAAAACAUGGCGAACGGGUGAGUAACACGUGAAUUAUCUACCUUUUAAUUCGGAAUAAUUAUUUAUAUAAAAAUUCGGAAUAAAUAUAUUAAAGUUUUUUAACGUUAAAAGAUGAGUUUGCGCAAGAUUAUGGUAGUUGGUAGUUUAAAAGACUACCAAGCCUAUUAUCUUUAGCUGGUUUGAAAGAAUGAUCAGCCACAUUGGGACUGAGACACGGCCCAAACUUUUUUAAAGGCAGCAGUGGGGAAUUUUGGACAAUGAGCGAAAGCUUGAUCCAGCAAUACCGAGUGAGUGAUGACGGCUAAUUAGGUUGUAAAGCUCUUUCAUUAAGGAGGAAAAUGACAGUACUUAAAAAAGAAGUUCCGGCUAAUACCCGUGCCAGCAGCCGCGGUAAUACGGGAGGAGCGAGCAUUAUUCGGAAUGAUUAGGCGUAAAGGGUUUGUAGGUGGUUUUUUAAGUUNAAAGAAACAAAUUAAAGCUCAACUUUAUACAUUUUUUCAAAACUAAUAAACUGGAGUAUAAAUAGAGGAUAAUGGAAUUUCUAUUGGAGUGAUAAAAUACGUUGAUAAUAGAAGGAAGAUCUAUGGCGAAGGCAAUUAUCUGGGUAUAUACUGACACUGAGAAACGAAAGCUUGGGUAGCGAACGGGAUUAGAUACCCCGGUAGUCCAUGNUGUAAACGAUGAGUGCUAAUAUUUAGAAUUUUUAGAUAUAACAGCUAACGCGUUAAGCACUCCGCC
Molecule: non-coding RNA, 802 nt
Rfam family: Bacterial small subunit ribosomal RNA